AGAAUCAACGCUGGCGGCGUGCCUAACACAUGCAAGUCGAACGAGAAAGUGGAGCAAUCCAUGAGUAAAGUGGCGCACGGGUGAGUAACACGUGACUAACCUACCCUUGAGUGGGGGAUAACCUAGGGAAACCUGGGCUAAUACCGCAUAAUACCUUCGGGUCAAAGGAGCAAUUCGCUUAAGGAGGGGGUCGCGGCCGAUUAGUUAGUUGGCGGGGUAAUGGCCCACCAAGACUGUGAUCGGUAUCCGGCCUGAGAGGGCGCACGGACACACUGGAACUGAAACACGGUCCAGACUCCUACGGGAGGCAGCAGUGGGGAAUUUUGCGCAAUGGGGGAACCCUGACGCAGCAACGCCGCGUGGAGGAUGAAGUCCCUUGGGACGUAAACUCCUUUCGAUCGGGACGAUUAUGACGGUACCGGAAGAAGAAGCCCCGGCUAACUUCGUGCCAGCAGCCGC
RNAcentral lists this ribosomal RNA (459 nucleotides) under uncultured bacterium. Its description in RNAcentral is "SSU rRNA". It matches the Rfam family "Bacterial small subunit ribosomal RNA", at positions 26 to 518 of the family's 1533-position model. The record is from RNAcentral.